RNA transcript from Cucurbita maxima (winter squash), 2757 nucleotides. It is a transcript of the gene named GTP-binding protein OBGC, chloroplastic, with no coding region annotated. NCBI's taxonomy places the organism in Eukaryota, Viridiplantae, Streptophyta, Magnoliopsida, Cucurbitales, Cucurbitaceae. The record is from RefSeq and is a predicted model, not a curated record. The transcript is spliced from 8 exons.
UUGGAGUUGCACUGCAAAUUUGCCGCUUCAUCGGAUUUGGAAAUGGCCGCCAUUUCAAUUUGCUUUGCUCCGCAAGCUCUUGCACGGCCCAGAAUUCGAAACCCUAGAAGAAUACAGUCGCCCAAGAAGCUUCGAGGGAACGACAAGCUUGAUCGUAAUAGCGUUAAGAUAAGAACCAAUUCGAAGGAGUUAUCUUCCAUUGGCGUUGAAGCCACUACCUACACCCGCCUCCCUCCCAGGGAAGACUUCGCUCUUCUUAGCUUUGAUUCCCCGUCUUUUGAUUCUUCUUCUUCUUCUUCUUCUUCGAAGGUUUCGUCCGAGGUGAAGCUUUUGGAUUCGGAUGUUGCGAUAAUUGAGGAGGAAAAUGAUUUGGAUUCUUUGAACUUCGAAGAGAGGGAGGAAAAAGAGGAAGGAGGAUUGGAUGGGAAUUUGGCUUUUGGGAAUGGCUAUGGGAAGUUUGAAGUGUUUGAGGGGGAAUAUGACUCUGAAAUGGAGGAGUAUGGCGAUGAUAGUGAAGUGGAAGAGGAAGAGGAAGAGGAAGAGGAAGAGGAAGAGGAAGAGUUAGAUGAGGAAGGAGAGAAGGUUUUGGCAUUUAGGAAGGGGAGAUUUGUUGAUACUGAUGAAGUGGAAACCUAUUAUGAUGGUGCUUAUGAAGCUGGCGAAGAAGAUGUGAAGGAAAAGGGGCUGCCAGCAGUAAUGCGGUGCUUUGAUCGAGCGAAAAUCUAUGUGAAAGCUGGAGAUGGUGGCAAUGGCGUUGUGGCAUUUCGGCGCGAGAAGUAUGUGCCGCUGGGUGGCCCUUCAGGAGGAGAUGGAGGGAGAGGUGGGAAUGUGUAUGUUGAAGUUGAUGCGUCGAUGAAUUCGCUAUUGCCAUUUCGAAAUGGUAUACAUUUUCGUGCAGGAAGGGGUAGUCAUGGGCAGGGGAGAAUGCAAAACGGGGCGAAGGGUGAGGAUGUGGUGGUGAAAGUGGCCCCUGGAACAGUGAUAAGAGACGCAUUUAGCCAGGAGAUUCUGUUGGAAUUGUUACAUCCGGGGCAGCGGGCUCUGUUGCUGCGCGGUGGAAGAGGUGGAAGAGGCAAUGCAUCAUUCAAAUCCGGGUCAAAUAAGGUUCCGAAGAUUUCAGAGAAUGGAGAAGAGGGUUCAGAAAUGUGGUUGGAGUUGGAGCUAAAGCUUGUUGCAGACGUUGGAAUCGUCGGGGCACCAAAUGCAGGGAAAAGCACACUUUUGAGCGUGAUAAGUGCUGCACAGCCAGCCAUAGCAAAUUACCCUUUUACUACCCUACUCCCAAACUUGGGUGUUGUUUCUUUUGACUAUGACUCAACUAUGGUGGUAGCAGAUCUUCCAGGAUUACUUGAAGGCGCACACGAGGGGUUUGGCUUAGGCCAUGAGUUUCUACGUCACACUGAAAGGUGUUCUUCACUGGUGCAUGUGGUCGAUGGGUCAGGACCACAACCUGAAUAUGAAUUUGAUGCUGUUCGUUUGGAGUUGGAGCUCUUUAGCCCCGAACUAGCUGAAAAACCCUAUCUUGUUGCCUAUAAUAAAAUGGAUCUUCCUGAAGCUUACGAAAACUGGCCAGCAUUCAAGGAAAAGCUACAAGCUCGUGGGAUUGAAACUUUUUGUAUGAGUGCCGUAAAAAGAGAGGGCACUCAUGAAGUCAUUAGUGCUGCAUAUCAGCUACUAAGGGAAACUAAAGAAGCCAGGGAAUUUCAAGGUGGGAAAAUACCAGAGAAUCUGGACCAUGUGGCAGAUAGAAUACACAAGCAACGUAGUGCUUCUAUUGAUGACUUUGAAAUUGUUCGUGAUAGCGGUUCCUGGCAUGUAGUUGGAUCUGGUUUACAACGAUUUGUUCAGAUGACAAAUUGGCGUUACAUGGAGUCCGAAAGAAGGUUCCAACAUGUCAUGGAGGCAUGUGGUGUCAACAAGUCUCUCAGAAAACUUGGCAUCAAGGAGGGUGACACAGUAUUUGUUGCAGAGAUGGAGAUGAUCUGGCAUGAUUCACCCAAUAGCUCUGGUCCAUCUAAUAUGAAGAAAAGAUCAGAUUCUGUGAAAUGGCCAGAGUGGAAGUAACUCGCCUUUGUUUUCUCACUGGUAGCUUGAUGCUGAUAACGGAAGGAUGAAUUUUCUCUAUGGAUCAGAUGAACAGCCUUACACAUCCAGGAGAUCCGAAUGGAGCAGCAUUAUUUUAUGAGGAUCUAGUUGGACUGGACUAAGAUCACUCGGCAUGGGCGCACGGGGACUUGGGAUCUGCCCCUAAUUUGCAGUCUCUCUCUGGUUAGUUGGUUUACUUUAAUUCAUACUUCAACUCUCGUUUUAUUCUGCAUUUAAAUUCUUGCCUUAUUUUGUUGUUCACUUUUUAUAUAUUUUAUUGUUUGUUUUUAUGUUUUAAUUUCUACCACAUGUGACUUCUUUAGUUCUCUAUCAUUUUAAAAAAAAUAAAAAAAUAAUUAUCGAACGAGUAGACUCGCAACUCGAUAUAGAAACUGAAAGAAAACGAAAGACUGUUACGAAUGCUUCAGUAGCAAAGCAAGACCACCGACCCCCCUCCUGAAAUGCAGCAAAAAAAAUCUUGCAAUUUCUUACAUUAGAUUUUUUUUUUGGUGUUUUUUUUCUCAUUCAAAUCUCUGUCUAUCAUUCUUUUCAGAAUGUCAUUCGUUUUCCAUUUCCCCAUAAAUAAAUAAAUGCUUCUCUGAUUCUUCCUAGUACUGAUCUUCCUCUGUUCAUGUUAUUGUUCAUGAUUAAUGUACUCUCUCAAAUGUGUCU